GUUCUACUCCCUCCGUUCCAAAUUACUCGUCGUUGCAGAAAUGGAUGUAUGUAGAACUAAAAUACAUCUAGAUACAUCCAUACCUGCGACAAGUAAUUCGGAACGGAGGGAAUAUAUU
Triticum urartu is the source of this 118-nucleotide non-coding RNA. The record is from Rfam. NCBI's taxonomy places the organism in Eukaryota, Viridiplantae, Streptophyta, Magnoliopsida, Poales, Poaceae.